GUUUGAAAUAUAAUGUAUACAUAGUUUAGUUGCACUUGUUCAUAGAUAAAUGACCAUGUAUAACAUUUUAUAGACCAUAUACAAAUUUAGCCAGUGGGGUUUAUGAUGUGAGUUAACACUCUAUUCAGAUUACUAAAUGACCAUGUUACGUAAACCCCAUUACACAUGUUACUUUUAAGUGUAUUGGGGAGGUUAAGAGUUUAAAUAAGGGUAAUUCAACGGUCACUUAAAAGAUGCAAAAUUUUAGUACCGACGUUUAUUACUUUAUUUGAUUAAUGGGAUAAUUUCUCCGGGUACUAUAUAAACAAGUUUGUUCAGUUGGUGUACUAUCUGUGUAUUCCAACUGAACAGAACUUUGUGUUUUUAUUUUAAAGGUAACCGGACAAUUUCAGAAACCCUAGUGGUAUGAUAAAGUCCUAAAAAAAACACGAACAGCAUACAAAUUACUUGUCAGCCACUUACACAUACGAGUUUCAUCCGACCUCCCUCUACACCAAGUCGAGUAUAGUCUCACCCCAACUGACACCAAAAUCAAGUAUAAAAAGUGGUGGAGGAAAAGAAAACGAUUUCCGGUGGAAAAAGCUUAAAAGUGGUAGAAAAACCAGGACAACCAAACCAAGCAUGAACAACCUCAAAGGAUUUCACCCGCUGUCACCAGCACCCGGAUCCAAAAAUGGAGAAAGGAGAACAAAGAAAGGAGAACAGAGAAAGGAGAAUGGAGAAAGGAGUACGGAGAACGGAGAAAGGUGGCCCCUGACGGAGCUUAAUUUUGGACGUUUAUUCUAAACAGUGGAUUUUAAAUUUAACUAUUGUUUCACGCUUUGUGUAUAUAUUGUAUAUAUGUUCUAUGGUAAAAAAAAAGCUGAUUAUUAAAUAGCAAGUAAGUUAACGUUAAUGUUAAAAAAUAUAUUAGAAAAAAAAAUAAAGUAAAGUUAAAAUUGAUAAAAUAGCGAUUAGGUGAAAAAGAUAGAAAGUAAGUUAAAGUGAGAAAAAAUGUAUGUAAGAAUUAGGUUAAAUUGAAAAUGGAGUCAUUGAUAAAGGUAAAUUUUAAAAAGAAAUGUCUAAAUUGAGAUAAACGAAAUAUGAAUUAUUAUAUUUAAGUGCCUAAACAUCUUUAUUUAAAGUGUUGAUAAAAAAAAUCAUUUAAUUUGGAAGACUGUAAAUGGCAACUAAGAUACUAAAAUGAUGAUGAUUGAUGUAAAAUAAAAAUAAAGAAAUAUGAGAUGAUCAGAAAAAUAUUUUUAGUUUACUUAAUAGCAAAAACAACAAGUAACUUAGAGUAACUAUAUUGAAAUGUAAUAUGUCUUAGACGCUAAUGUUUAGGCGGUUCAAAUUCAUUAAACGUAAAAAGGAAAGGAAGAUAUAUCCUUGUUUAUAUGAGAGCCUUUAAAUAAUGCCCUAAACUUUAACCUUCAAAAGAUAAAAGUACAUAACAAAAAUCAAAUAUGUAAGAAGAGGUUGGUUGUUUAAAGACUUAAAAACUUGAUAUUAUGUGGAAUAUAUAAAACGUCCACAUUAGAAAAUGUUGAGGUAAGGCACAUUGUCCUAUAAGGAACAAAUAUAGAUAAAUAAAUAAAUAAAUAGUCAUUUAAAGAGAAAUGCACGUGUGAAAAUGAAUUACAAAACUUGGUUGAUUGUUAAAGUGUUUAAUGGUUCUAGAGCGAUUACGAUAAAAAUGUUGAGUAAAACAUGUGUUUUAAGGUUCCUGUGUGCAAGAAUUUAAUGUUAGUUUAAUCAUAAGAAUUUAAUUUUAGUUGAUCACCUAAUUAAAUUAGUGUUAAAUAUGUUGACCUAGCUAGUCAUCAUGUAAAACCUUGAUUGUAGCAAACACAAUAUUAUUCUAGCAUAGGCAAAUCCUUAUCCAUAAUGUUAAAUCUUAACUGUAAUCAAAUGUUUUAGAAAACUAUCCAUUGUAAAACAUACAACAAAUUUGACUAAAGUAAUAUAAUAGAAAAUGAGGGUAUGUCUUGCGGUAGUUCUGGAGUCGGAGCAAAAUACCCAGGAAAAUGAGCAUACUCCAUAGAGAGGAAAUGACUCAGGUAUGUUUGGAGUUCGAGCAGACUACCAAGAAAAGAGGGCUUACCACAAUAGUAAUAGAGAAACAAUAAUAAUAAUGAUAAAAAAAAACACCAACGCUCUUAUAAUAAAGAAUUAAGAGAUUUGUAAAUGAAAAAUAUUUUUAAGAUCAAAUUGUUUUUUUUGUUGUUUUUUUUUUUUGGAAAAAAAAAACCAUAAAUAAAAUACUGCAUGUAUAUGGUCAUAUAAGAAAGUCACGAAUAAGAAUAACUAAAACGCAAUCAGUCAUCUUGGUCAUAGCAACUUGUCUAACCGAUAUAUACAAUAUCAACGGACAUCAGCCAUAUUCCUAACAACCCACAUAUGUUGUUUGGAAACGCAAUUUUAUUUUUUUUUAAGAAUAAAAACAGAUAUUUUUCUUUUA
Long non-coding RNA from Mytilus californianus (California mussel), 2440 nucleotides. RefSeq lists it as uncharacterized. The record is from RefSeq and is a predicted model, not a curated record. NCBI's taxonomy places the organism in Eukaryota, Metazoa, Mollusca, Bivalvia, Mytilida, Mytilidae. The transcript is spliced from 2 exons.